UACGGGGGGAGCAAGCGUUGUUCGGAUUUACUGGGCGUAAAGGGCGCGUAGGCGGCCACCGCAAGUCGACUGUGAAAUCUCCGGGCUUAACCCGGAAAGGUCAGCCGAUACUGCGGGGCUAGAGUGCAGAAGGGGCAACUGGAAUUCUCGGUGUAGCGGUGAAAUGCGUAGAUAUCGGGAGGAAUACCGAUGGCGAAGGCAGGUCUCUGGGCUGACACUGACGCUCAUGCACGAAAGCGUGGGGAGCAAACAGG
RNAcentral lists this ribosomal RNA (254 nucleotides) under uncultured bacterium. RNAcentral's name for it is "partial 16S ribosomal RNA". It matches the Rfam family "Bacterial small subunit ribosomal RNA", at positions 524 to 776 of the family's 1533-position model. The record is from RNAcentral.